Molecule: ribosomal RNA, 737 nt
Filed under: Priestia megaterium
Lineage: Bacteria; Bacillati; Bacillota; Bacilli; Caryophanales; Bacillaceae
Description: bacterial SSU rRNA
Rfam family: Bacterial small subunit ribosomal RNA
Source: RNAcentral
AUACAUGCAAGUCGAGCGAACUGAUUAGAAGCUUGCUUCUAUGACGUUAGCGGCGGACGGGUGAGUAACACGUGGGCAACCUGCCUGUAAGACUGGGAUAACUUCGGGAAACCGAAGCUAAUACCGGAUAGGAUCUUCUCCUUCAUGGGAGAUGAUUGAAAGAUGGUUUCGGCUAUCACUUACAGAUGGGCCCGCGGUGCAUUAGCUAGUUGGUGAGGUAACGGCUCACCAAGGCAACGAUGCAUAGCCGACCUGAGAGGGUGAUCGGCCACACUGGGACUGAGACACGGCCCAGACUCCUACGGGAGGCAGCAGUAGGGAAUCUUCCGCAAUGGACGAAAGUCUGACGGAGCAACGCCGCGUGAGUGAUGAAGGCUUUCGGGUCGUAAAACUCUGUUGUUAGGGAAGAACAAGUACGAGAGUAACUGCUCGUACCUUGACGGUACCUAACCAGAAAGCCACGGCUAACUACGUGCCAGCAGCCGCGGUAAUACGUAGGUGGCAAGCGUUAUCCGGAAUUAUUGGGCGUAAAGCGCGCGCAGGCGGUUUCUUAAGUCUGAUGUGAAAGCCCACGGCUCAACCGUGGAGGGUCAUUGGAAACUGGGGAACUUGAGUGCAGAAGAGAAAAGCGGAAUUCCACGUGUAGCGGUGAAAUGCGUAGAGAUGUGGAGGAACACCAGUGGCGAAGGCGGCUUUUUGGUCUGUAACUGACGCUGAGGCGCGAAAGCGUGGCCCCC